Molecule: unclassified non-coding RNA, 229 nt
Filed under: Hevea brasiliensis (rubber tree)
Lineage: Eukaryota; Viridiplantae; Streptophyta; Magnoliopsida; Malpighiales; Euphorbiaceae
Source: RNAcentral
AAUUAAAACACCAAAACUACUUGACCUCUAUUUACAAUCCACAACUCCUGAAUUCAGUGGGUAGCAGAUUCUAAAAGAUUUUAUGGGCACACCCAUUUCACGUCAAAAUACCAANNNNNNNNNNNAAUGUACCAAGAGGCUCAAUAGUUCAAGAAAAGACGAUUAGUAGACUCACUACCACAAUAACAUAUAAGUGAAACAAAUUUCUCCUUUAUUCACUUCUUUUUCC